UACGAAGGGUGCAAGCGUUGUUCGGAUUUAUUGGGCGUAAAGCGCGCGCAGGCGGAUUGGUAAGUCAGAUGUGAAAUCUCAGGGCUUAACCCUGAAAUUGCGUCUGAAACUGUCGAUCUAGAAUCUUGGAGAGGGAAGGGGAAUUUCUCAUGUAGGGGUAAAAUCCGUAGAGAUGAGAAGGAACACCAGAAGCGAAGGCGCCUUCCUGGACAAGUAUUGAUGCUGAGGCGCGAAAGCGUGGGGAGCAAACAGGAUUAGAUACCCUGGUAGUCCACGCCGUAAACUAUGAGCACUAGUUGUGGUGGGUAUUAACCCCUGCCGUGACGUAGCAAACGCGUUAAGUGCUCCGCCUGGGAAGUACGGUCGCAAGACUAAA
RNAcentral lists this ribosomal RNA (376 nucleotides) under uncultured bacterium. RNAcentral's name for it is "bacterial SSU rRNA". It matches the Rfam family "Bacterial small subunit ribosomal RNA", at positions 524 to 898 of the family's 1533-position model. The record is from RNAcentral.